UAAUUUGCUGGGAAAAAAUCUAUAUGUGUUUAAUUUUCAAUUGUCCUUAAUUAUAAUUUUAUUUAAAGUGGAGUUUUGUAAGAAUAAUGUAGGGGUGCCAAUAGCUCUACUCAAGAAAAUAGCAACAAGGAGACACAUAUUUCACCUUGAGAAUGUGGGCUCAGAGCCCACGUUCGAGGGGAUAUAUCACGAUUCACGACUUUUUUUUUUUUUUUGAAUACUGAUUAAUCAUCAUAUUACUGCAUUACACAGAUAUUUACAACUGCUAUUAUAGCAGAUAUAUUACACUGAUAUUUACAAUCAGAAAUACAUGAUUGGGACUUAUAUUAUUACAUUGAAUUCUGUGAAGUACAUGCCCAGACAAAUAAUCCCUUACAGAAGAGAGAUGUCCAUACUCCACUCGUAUUGCACGAGGGAGAGGAAAUUUUUGAAAUAUUAAAUAAAUAAGCACGUUAGCCCCCACAAAUGCUUUUGUGGGGGCUUGAACCGCUGCCCUCACAAGCAUUGUGAGGGCAGCAGCCCACCACUCCGACCAAGGCCGAAGUGGCACGAUUCACGACUUAAGAGUCCUAUGAAGAGCGGCGUGUUGCAGAGAACAUUAUUUUGAUUUUUGUAUGGUAUGUAAUGCGGUGCUGUCGACACUCUUUUAUUAUUCUUAUGGAUUUUUAUUUUUAGUUUUGAAAUAUGUAAUUGAAUGACAGGGUGCUUGUGUUCCUAACACCAAUAUCUAUUUUCAAAAUAAAGUAAAAAUUAAAAAAAAUUA
This 763-nucleotide long non-coding RNA is filed under the name Citrus x clementina. RNAcentral's name for it is "Citrus clementina (C. clementina) long non-coding RNA (CCLE_LNC002066)". The record is from RNAcentral. Lineage: Eukaryota; Viridiplantae; Streptophyta; Magnoliopsida; Sapindales; Rutaceae.